RNAcentral lists this transfer RNA (50 nucleotides) under Homocodon pedicellatus. Its description in RNAcentral is "partial tRNA-Leu". The record is from RNAcentral. Lineage: Eukaryota; Viridiplantae; Streptophyta; Magnoliopsida; Asterales; Campanulaceae.
AUCCGUCGAUUUUAAAAAUCAUGAGGGUUCAAGUCCCUCUAUCCCCAAAA